RNAcentral lists this unclassified non-coding RNA (2335 nucleotides) under Anneissia japonica. RNAcentral describes it as "uncharacterized LOC117100210, transcript variant X1". The record is from RNAcentral. Lineage: Eukaryota; Metazoa; Echinodermata; Crinoidea; Comatulida; Comatulidae.
AGCGGCUGGAACCAGCGCAGCUAGCGGCGUCCCUGUCCACUCGACUCGCCUUAACUUAACUUGCUUGCGCUACCACGACAAAAAAAAAAAAUAUGAAUGCUAUAUAACUAUUUUGUCUUGGCCAGACUACUUGGUACAAAACCGUUUACUAAGCUGGAUUAACCAUGAUGCUUGCUCGGUUUCCAUACAAUCGCUCACCCUAUCGGUGACAGUCGCCGGCAGCUGUUGUUGGAAAGGUUGAACCUGGUUCAACUUUGCCGAUCAUUCAGGGAUGGUCCAGAGUGCGAAGGGGUUUCAAAGGCUUAUCUAAUCGAUUUUAGAGCAGCUCUCCCCAACGACGGGGGAGCCGUGCCCUGCCCCCGAUCACCCCUCUGGCGCCACCCCUGCCGAUUUCGUUUCAGACGAAUCAAGGUGCAUCGACUAGCUACCCUGACGUAAUUAUGAAGGCACCCCGAAUCGGCAAAGUUAAACCAGGUUCAACCUUCCCGACAACUGUCGGCGCCUGUCGCCGAUAGGGUGAGCGAUUCUAUGGAAACCGAGCUUUACCUGGGAUAAAGCGGAUUUAUGUUACAGCCGAAUCCACAGCAGUCGUGGUGCUGAUAUUGCUCGAUGGGGGUUGAUAUUCCAAACUAGAGAAGGAAGGGGAUGGGUGCGAUGUCACCAACGUAUGGCCGAUGUUCCCGACAAGUGCCGAUGUCCCUGACGGGGAAAUAGGUGAUGUCCCUCCAAUCCAUGAAUGCAGAAUAAUUUGGAAGAAGGCAUUAUCUCCACCAAACAAUUAACAGAUCAUAAUGACCCAAUCACAGAAGACAAUUACGCAUAGUUAAUUAGUCAUGAUAGCAUGUAAAUGCACAUAAUGCCUAGCUUUACUUCGGUUUAAAAAAAUGGCAUAUUAAAGAAUCUUCCACCACUAAUGAGCGAGAAUAAAAAAAGGCCUUUUGGAGGAACAUGCCUGUUGGCGAUUUCGCAGAUUUGAUUGAUAAUUGAGUGAAAAAUCAGGCCAAUAAUUGCAAUAAAAUACAGAAAAUAUCAUUAUAUUGAACGCUGAUUAAAGUUAUAAAAUCACAAUAAAAAUAAAGAAAAGAAUAUUUCAUUAUCUUCAAUGCUGUUAAAGUAAUAAAAUCACAAAAAAAUUAAGAAAAGAAUAUUUCAUUAUCUUCAAUGCUGGAAAAAUGAUGUUGACAAAUAAAAGGGAAAACCUACAACUCGUAUAACUUUGAUUCAUUUAGAUUAUAUUUAUCUGCCACACCAUUUUAUAGAACCUCUCAUUUACCUCACCGAAUAUUGUCUUUAAUUUCGAAUAAUAGCUUAAAAAGUAUAAUUUUUGUAUUUGGGCACUUUUUACAUGAUUCGUAAAUAUAUGAAGAUUCGAAAUAUGUAACUUCGCGUUUGUAAAAUAGAAGUCUGUAAAUUUAAUAUAUGUAAAUUAGAGGUUAAUAUUAUUCUUCAUAAUAUAACCAUCAUAUAUCAAUAUCAUUGUAUUCUGAUUGAAUAUAAAAAUGAUAGCAGCUUAAUUUGAACAAUAAUAAUUUUAUCUAAAUUAUACGUGUACAAUACAAUGACGACUCCUAAAUUGAUUAUAAAUUUAUACUAUAAUAUUAAUUUUCACUUACAUGGACUAAAUUUCGUGAAAUAUAUAAUUGACACUGGCAUACAUUAUUUGUACUGUAAUUUGGCUACGUAAGAUACACAUUUCACUGGAAAAACUGGAGUUAAUGCCUUACUUCAGAUUUUUCACGCACCAUUGACUCCUGUUAAAAUUUGGAAUAGUGCAUUAUCUCCAUUUAAAUAGGGUUAAAGAACAAAAAUCACCAUGAAAAUUAUUUAAUGUUUUUUAAUUAUAUGUUUAGUAUAUUUGCCAAAAAAAAUUACUAGAAUUCAUUUCCAGUAUAAAAGGCUAACGACAAACGCGUUUUGCUCAAUAACUCAAAACUAGGAUUUUGGAGUUAAUGCCUUUUUUCCAAAUCACGGCAGUAUAUUCUGUAUAAUUAUUUUGCAAGAUUUUUUUUUUUUCAGAGGGGUGUUAACACAGAUAGUGGAAGUACCUGCCAAGAAGAUGUCUUUGAAGGUGUUCACAAGAAUGUUGCGGGCAGGAGCUAGCACACGAGCGCCGACGGGAGUUAAAUACCGGGGCCCUAAAACAAGCAUAAAGGAAAACUGCACCCUAGCAACCCCUGGAUGCACCACUGAUAUGAUUAGCUGUGAAUGCAAAACCAAAGAAAUAAACCUAGUAUGUAUCGAAAUCAACAACAAAGGGAAACCUUCCUACAAUGAGCAAAUUAAUGCUGAGCGAUACCACCCACGGCAAUUUGCAAGAAUUCAAUGAAAUUUAGUU